GAAAUUAAUUGUUCAUCAUACAACUUCUAUUGGAAGUAGCAAAGAUUUGAGGAAGGCUAAUCAAAAUCUUGCAAGUAGCCUUCCGUAUGGAAAUCCAAAAAUAGCACGCCUUGUUUAGUUACUUACACAUCUAUAUCUGAGCAGGGCAGAGAGAGAGACAUAUUUUUCAAUUCAAGGUUGAAAGUUAUUUAUGAACCUGGGGCUUUAGUUUCAGCCAUCUCCAAUGAUGGCGCCACCGCCUUCUCUUUUGUCUUGAAGAAGCUUCUUGCAUAAAGGGAUCCAAAAACGAUUACAGCUCCGAUGCAUUGCUCCCAGCUCAAAGGAUGGCCAAACCACAAGCAUGACAGCAAAAUGCUCAACAACUGUCUUGUGGUCAUUAUGGUUGCAAAGGUUAGAGCACCAAAUGUGCGGAUUGUGUACGAAAUGAAGAAUUGACUAGCUGUUGCUACAGUCGAAAGCAGAGCAAUGUCAAAGAAACAAUCAUGAUGGCGA
RNAcentral lists this unclassified non-coding RNA (492 nucleotides) under Hevea brasiliensis (rubber tree). Lineage: Eukaryota; Viridiplantae; Streptophyta; Magnoliopsida; Malpighiales; Euphorbiaceae. The record is from RNAcentral.